Molecule: long non-coding RNA, 632 nt
Filed under: Rattus norvegicus (Norway rat)
Lineage: Eukaryota; Metazoa; Chordata; Mammalia; Rodentia; Muridae
Description: long non-coding RNA NONRATT001028
Source: RNAcentral
UCCCUCCCUGGCUGUGGCCACUCCUGUGCUGGCACACUGAGAGGGGAAGCUGCUCUCUCCUUGGUCAUAGUUACAUGCUCUCACUGACGCACAUGCAAACAGUUGUGUGCCACAUGCCACAGGGACACAUGUUCAAGCACAUGAGCUCACAGUACUGUCUGCUAUUCAAAUAUACUCACAUAUAUCAGUCAAGUCAGCAAUGAGGUAAGGGCUGUGUGAGGCCCUGGGAGGCAGGGUAGGCGGAGACAGUGGGGACAAGGAUUCUACUGUGCUUCCUGGUUUCACAGUGUGUCUGUGGUAGGGGUUGGGGGUUCCUGUCUGGAUGGCAGUUAAUAGGAUCCCCAUAUUUCUGGCCUCCACCACACCCUCCCUUGCAGGAAGAUGGGCCAGCAGCCUGGCUGAAUUGUUCCUUGCCCUCUACAGGGAGGUGUCCCAAGCCCCUGAAGAACCGUGAUGUCAUCACCCUCCGCUCCUGGCUCCCCAUGGGCGCUGAUUACAUCAUUAUGAACUACUCAGUGAAACACCCUAAAUACCCACCUCGGAAAGACUUGGUCCGAGCUGUGUCCAUCCAGACGGGCUACCUCAUCCAGAGCACGGGGCCCAAGAGCUGUGUCAUCACCUACCUGGCCCAA